GAUGAACGCUGGCGGCGUGCCUAAUACAUGCGAGUCGAGCGGACGGACGCGGAGCUUGCUUCUCUGAUGUUAGCGGCGGGCGUGUGAGUAACACGUGGAUAACCUACCUAUAAGACUGGGAUAACUUCGGGAAACCGGAGCUAAUACCGGAUAAUAUUUUGAACCGCAGUGUUCAAUAGUAAAAGACGGUCUUGCUGUCACGUCUAGAUGGAUCCGGGCUGCAUUAGCUAGUUGUUAAGGUAACGGGCUACGAAGGCAACGAUGCAUAGCCGACCUGAGAGGGUGAUAGGCCACCCUGGAAGUUAGCCAGGGUCAUGACUCCUACGGGAGGCAGCAGUAGGGAACCUUCCGCAAUGGGGGAAGGCCUGACGGAGCAACGCCGCGUGAGUGAUGACGGUCUUCGGAUCGUAAAACUCUGUUAUUAGGGAAGAACAUAUGUGUAAGUAACUGUGCACAUCUUGACGGUACCUAAUCAGAAAGCAACGGCUAACUACGUG
RNAcentral lists this ribosomal RNA (497 nucleotides) under uncultured bacterium. RNAcentral describes it as "partial 16S ribosomal RNA". It matches the Rfam family "Bacterial small subunit ribosomal RNA", at positions 28 to 507 of the family's 1533-position model. The record is from RNAcentral.